Molecule: transfer RNA, 71 nt
Filed under: Stegodyphus mimosarum
Lineage: Eukaryota; Metazoa; Arthropoda; Arachnida; Araneae; Eresidae
Rfam family: tRNA
About the family: Transfer RNA (tRNA) molecules are approximately 80 nucleotides in length.
Source: Rfam by way of RNAcentral
GCCUUUGUGGUGUAACGGUAGCACACUCGGCGCGUAUUCGAGAGGUCCAGGUUCAAGUCCCGGCGAGGGCA